Molecule: long non-coding RNA, 750 nt
Organism: Gambusia affinis (western mosquitofish)
Lineage: Eukaryota; Metazoa; Chordata; Actinopteri; Cyprinodontiformes; Poeciliidae
Exons: 4
Source: RefSeq, a predicted model, not a curated record
CGUACACUUCAGCCGCACUCAGACCGAGGCUUCAAGGCGGACCAGAGUUCACGUUUUUGGUCCAAACGAACCGGACUUUUUAGCUAAACAAACUGGAGUUUGAUUGAAGUGGACCAAACAGGGCUGGAGUGAUUGUUCCCUAAAACUAAUAUAACAUGGUUCUGUCGGCUUCUUCAAGGGAUGUGGUUCAGUGAACACUGGAGCUGUUCGAAGUUAAGAGUAAAGUGGCCAGGAUGAGAAUCAGCUCCUCCAAGUUAGAGAUCGUGUUUCUCGACUGAAAAAAGGAACGAAAGAAAAAGAAGAACGCGACUGAGAAGUGAUGAAGAAAAUAUCCAAGCUAACAGGGUUUUUAAAAAAAUCACAUUGGACAUGGAACAGAACCAUCGACACUCUCCGCUUCUCUAGACGCUAGCCUUGCUAACAGCGGUUCUAUGGUCCGCCAGAACCUGGACCUCCGUCUGAUCCGGUGCCCGAGGAGUCAGAGGCGGCGGAAGGACGAACUUCUUCGCCAGGUGCAGCGAUGACCACAGAUAAUCCGUACAGUACUGAUGAGUAAAAACUGAUGAGUAUGGAUGUUAAUUUUAAAGCAUCGGAACAUCGUUACGAACAUCAGAAACAAUUCUUCUCCAGAUCGCGUUUUGAAAGCCAGCUGGCAAGCGCAAAAAGUUGGCAAUCGUGGAGUGACUGUAGUAAACCUUGCAUGGAGAGAUGACCUGCUGGUUGGGACUGUCCAUCAGCCCUCCCUCAUGG